Molecule: non-coding RNA, 27 nt
Filed under: Bombyx mori (domestic silkworm)
Lineage: Eukaryota; Metazoa; Arthropoda; Insecta; Lepidoptera; Bombycidae
Source: RNAcentral
UCACGGAGUUUCUGUGCCAACAAGUCA